UUGAAAUGCCAGUUCCUAUACAAUCACCGAAGUUAAGCCACACCAAGCCAGGUCAGUACCUAGAUAGGUGACUGCUUGGGAAUACCAGGUGCUGUAAG
Acanthosepion pharaonis is the source of this 98-nucleotide non-coding RNA. The record is from the annotation of a GenBank genome assembly. Lineage: Eukaryota; Metazoa; Mollusca; Cephalopoda; Sepiida; Sepiidae.